GAUGAACGCUGGCGGCGUGCCUAAUACAUGCCAGUCGAGCGAACAGAUGAGGAGCUUGCUCCUCUGACGUUAGCGGCGGACGGGUGAGUAACACGUGGAUAACCUACCUAUAAGACUGGGAUAACUUCGGGAAACCGGAGCUAAUACCGGAUAAUAUAUUGAACCGCAUGGUUCAAUAGUGAAAGACGGUUUUGCUGUCACUUAUAGAUGGAUCCGCGCCGCAUUAGCUAGUUGGUAAGGUAACGGCUUACCAAGGCAACGAUGCGUAGCCGACCUGAGAGGGUGAUCGGCCACACUGGAACUGAGACACGGUCCAGACUCCUACGGGAGGCAGCAGUAGGGAAUCUUCCGCAAUGGGCGAAAGCUUGACGGAGCAACGCCGCGUGAGUGAUGAAGGUCUUCGGAUCGUAAAACUCUGUUAUUAGGGAAGAACAAAUGUGUAAGUAAAUAUGCACGUCUUGACGGUACCUAAACAAAAAGCCACGGCUAACUACGUG
This 497-nucleotide ribosomal RNA is filed under the name uncultured bacterium. RNAcentral describes it as "partial 16S ribosomal RNA". It matches the Rfam family "Bacterial small subunit ribosomal RNA", at positions 28 to 507 of the family's 1533-position model. The record is from RNAcentral.